Molecule: ribosomal RNA, 822 nt
Filed under: Tylomelania helmuti
Lineage: Eukaryota; Metazoa; Mollusca; Gastropoda; Pachychilidae
Description: partial 16S ribosomal RNA
Rfam family: Bacterial large subunit ribosomal RNA
Source: RNAcentral
CUAAAAUUAAUAAUAGAAAACUUAUCAAUUUGUUUUGUAUCUUAGUUUACUGAGGAUAAGCUCAGUAAAAAUAAUAAAAUAGUAUACACCUCAUUUAGCUAGCUAUAUGGGCUUGAAAUUAGCCAUUGUAUUAAAGUUUGUUACAAAAUAGUUUUUAUAUACAGAAAGAUUGAUAUACUUUUUUUACAGGGGUAACAUGAAAAAUCAUGAUAUCUUGAUUCACUUAUGCUAGGAUGAGUAUUGAUGUAUAGAUAUAUAAACAAAAAUAGAAAGAUAUAUAAAAUAACUUUGCUCAAAACAAAAUAAGAAUAAGGAAUUCAGCAACGCUUAGCUCCGCCUGUUUAUCAAAAACAUGGCUCUUUGUUAACCAAAUAUAAAGAGUCAGACCUGCCCAGUGAAGUUUUAACGGCCGCGGUACUCUGACCGUGCAAAGGUAGCAUAAUCAUUUGCCUUAUAAUUGAAGGCUUGUAUGAAUGGUUUGACGGGAGCAUUACUGUCUUUUUCUUACCCCGUAGAACUUGACCUUUGGGUGAAGAGGCCCAGAUACAGUUGAAAGACAAAAAGACCCUGUCGAGCUUAAAAAGGAAUCAGAAUAAUUUUAUUAUCCAAGAUUAAUUACUGACUAAUUUUUUUGGUUGGGGCGACCAAGGAACAAAAAAGCUUCCUGUAUUUUCUUAGCUAAUAAGCAUGGAUCCAGAAAGAGCUGAUUAAAAGAAGUAGUUACCGCAGGGAUAACAGCAUAAUCUCUCUUGAGAGACCUAAUCGAAAGAGGGGGUUGUGACCUCGAUGUUGGACUAGAAUAUCCCAAAGAUGCAGAAGUCU